CCUGCUCCCACGCCGGCUCCAAGGGCUCCGCUCUCUCUCCUUGACUCCACGGGCCGGGAAGCACCAGAUGCUGCAGGAUUGCUUGGAAGUUUUUCUCUCACUUUCUCCCCCUCCCAAGUCACUCCUUAAAUCCUCCAGAAUUGAAGCACCUGCUGCCAGCCCAAGAGGAAGCCGCCCAGCCUGCUCCCUCCCAGCCAUGCCCGUGCCAGUCCUUCCAGAGCUCUUCCUCGGGCUCCCUUCCUCGCCUGCCUCUCCAUGGUGUGGUGAGGCACAUCACCAUUCAGGCCUGCAGACCCAAAUGCUUUGUGCACGGAUUUACAGAGAGAAGACUUCCUUUGUCUUCGAUGAGGACAGCAGACCAUUAGGAGCAGGACCUGGAAAACUGCACUUCAGUGAAAUCCCCAUACUUCCACCUGUGGCACACAGAGAUUACAGAUGUGUCUCCUGGAGAAACUGA
This 457-nucleotide long non-coding RNA is filed under the name Cyanistes caeruleus (blue tit). RNAcentral describes it as "lncRNA (ENSCCEG00000012568.1)". The record is from RNAcentral. Lineage: Eukaryota; Metazoa; Chordata; Aves; Passeriformes; Paridae.